AAAACCUCAUCUUUGAUCUACGUCAUCCGGGCGUCGAUCAGUGUUUCUAACACGGGCGUCCGCCCAGAUGAGGAGAGAGU
This 80-nucleotide non-coding RNA is filed under the name unclassified sequences. The record is from Rfam.